ACCAGCAGCGAUAGCACGUUGACUGCACCAGUUCCCCACGGAUCACUGAAGUUAACCAACGUUGCGCGUGGUUAGUACUUGGAUGGUGACCAUCUGGGGAAUCAUGUGCUGCUGGGU
RNAcentral lists this ribosomal RNA (117 nucleotides) under Diaphorina citri (Asian citrus psyllid). The record is from RNAcentral. Lineage: Eukaryota; Metazoa; Arthropoda; Insecta; Hemiptera; Psyllidae.